RNAcentral lists this unclassified non-coding RNA (319 nucleotides) under Halobacillus aidingensis. RNAcentral describes it as "Long range pseudoknot". The record is from RNAcentral. Lineage: Bacteria; Bacillati; Bacillota; Bacilli; Caryophanales; Bacillaceae.
ACCAUGACUUCAACACGAAACUGCGUAACGCGCGUAAGUUCUUGGAGAAAGGUGACAAAGUGAAGGCAUCUGUCCGUUUCCGCGGUCGUGCAAUCACUCACAAAGAACUUGGACAAAAAGUACUUGAACGCAUGGCGGAUGAGUGCAAAGACAUUGCCCAAGUUGAGACCAAGCCUAAAAUGGAAGGUCGUAGUAUGUUCUUAAUGCUUGCUCCUCUUAACGAGAAGUAAGGAAUUGUAUCAAGUUAAAGGAGGAAAUUCACAUGCCAAAAAUGAAAACCCAUAAAGGUUCUCAAAAACGCUUCAAAAAGACUGGAACA